Molecule: ribosomal RNA, 330 nt
Filed under: Triticum aestivum (bread wheat)
Lineage: Eukaryota; Viridiplantae; Streptophyta; Magnoliopsida; Poales; Poaceae
Description: partial small subunit ribosomal RNA
Source: RNAcentral
AUGACCCGAGUGGACGCCGAACUCUGGCCUCAGGCAGAACUUUCUCAAAGUCUCGAGUCGCUCAUGACUCGACUCAAUCAGAUCCCUGACCAAGUGCAAGAGUGGAAGAAGUCCUCUGCCUGCUGUGGUGCUGACGUCACCUUGUCAUUGGUUCGCGUGCACUUCAAGGAGGCUAAAGAAGAGAAGCUGGCGGCCCUCAAGGUAGCAAAUACUAAGAAGCACUCCUUCCAGGACUUCAUGGACACCUUCCUCGAGGCAGCUACCCGCAUUGCCGACAGCAUCGAUCUUGACAGCUUCUGCGAUCCGUCCAGCCCUUCUCCCGUCGAGUGA